GAGGGUAUAGCUCAGUGGUAGAGUGCGUGCUUAGCAUGCACGAGGUCCUUGGUUCAAUCCCCUGCACCUCCA
RNAcentral lists this transfer RNA (72 nucleotides) under Camelus bactrianus (Bactrian camel). It matches the Rfam family "tRNA". From Rfam's summary of the family: Transfer RNA (tRNA) molecules are approximately 80 nucleotides in length. Their secondary structure includes four short double-helical elements and three loops (D, anti-codon, and T loops). Further hydrogen bonds mediate the characteristic L-shaped molecular structure. tRNAs have two regions of fundamental functional importance: the anti-codon, which is responsible for specific mRNA codon recognition, and the 3' end, to which the tRNAs corresponding amino acid is attached (by aminoacyl-tRNA synthetases). tRNAs cope with the degeneracy of the genetic code in two manners: having more than one tRNA (with a specific anti-codon) for a particular amino acid; and 'wobble' base-pairing, i.e. permitting non-standard base-pairing at the 3rd anti-codon position. RNAcentral also lists the same sequence under 2 other names. The record is from Rfam by way of RNAcentral. Lineage: Eukaryota; Metazoa; Chordata; Mammalia; Artiodactyla; Camelidae.